UGCUGAGGAAAUCUUCGGGAGUUAACUGCCGCCGGUUUUCUAAAACUUCGGCAGUUAACUGCCGAUGAGCAU
This 72-nucleotide microRNA precursor is filed under the name Medicago truncatula (barrel medic). RNAcentral describes it as "MIR2629 microRNA precursor family". It matches the Rfam family "MIR2629 microRNA precursor family". Lineage: Eukaryota; Viridiplantae; Streptophyta; Magnoliopsida; Fabales; Fabaceae. The record is from Rfam by way of RNAcentral.